This 486-nucleotide ribosomal RNA is filed under the name Streptococcus mitis. RNAcentral describes it as "bacterial SSU rRNA". It matches the Rfam family "Bacterial small subunit ribosomal RNA", at positions 28 to 496 of the family's 1533-position model. Lineage: Bacteria; Bacillati; Bacillota; Bacilli; Lactobacillales; Streptococcaceae. The record is from RNAcentral.
GACGAACGCUGGCGGCGUGCCUAAUACAUGCAAGUAGAACGCUGAAGGAAGGAGCUUGCUCUUUCCGGAUGAGUUGCGAACGGGUGAGUAACGCGUAGGUAACCUGCCUGGUAGCGGGGGAUAACUAUUGGAAACGAUAGCUAAUACCGCAUAAUAGCAGUUAUUGCAUGAUAACUGUUUGAAAGGUGCAAAUGCAUCACUACCAGAUGGACCUGCGUUGUAUUAGCUAGUUGGUGGGGUAACGGCUCACCAAGGCGACGAUACAUAGCCGACCUGAGAGGGUGAUCGGCCACACUGGGACUGAGACACGGCCCAGACUCCUACGGGAGGCAGCAGUAGGGAAUCUUCGGCAAUGGACGGAAGUCUGACCGAGCAACGCCGCGUGAGUGAAGAAGGUUUUCGGAUCGUAAAGCUCUGUUGUAAGAGAAGAACGAGUGUGAGAGUGGAAAGUUCACACUGUGACGGUAUCUUACCAGAAAGGGACGG